CUUGAGGCGUGGCUUCCGGAGCUAACGCGUUAAGUAGACCGCCUGGGGAGUACGGCCGCAAGGUUAAAACUCAAAUGAAUUGACGGGGGCCCGCACAAGCGGUGGAGCAUGUGGUUUAAUUCGAUGCAACGCGAAGAACCUUACCUGGUCUUGACAUCCACAGAACUUUCCAGAGAUGGAUUGGUGCCUUCGGGAACUGUGAGACAGGUGCUGCAUGGCUGUCGUCAGCUCGUGUUGUGAAAUGUUGGGUUAAGUCCCGCAACGAGCGCAACCCUUAUCCUUUGUUGCCAGCGAUUAGGUCGGGAACUCAAAGGAGACUGCCAGUGAUAAACUGGAGGAAGGUGGGGAUGACGUCAAGUCAUCAUGGCCCUUACGACCAGGGCUACACACGUGCUACAAUGGCGCAUACAAAGAGAAGCGACCUCGCGAGAGCAAGCGGACCUCAUAAAGUGCGUCGUAGUCCGGAUUGGAGUCUGCAACUCGACUCCAUGAAGUCGGAAUCGCUAGUAAUCGUGGAUCAGAAUGCCACGGUGAAUACGUUCCCGGGCCUUGUACACACCGCCCGUCACACCAUGGGAGUGGGUUGCAAAAGAAGUAGGUAGCUUAACCUUCGGGAGGGCGCUUACCACUUUGUGAUUCAUGACUGGGGUGAAGUCGUAACAAGGUAACCGUAGGGGAACCUGCGGUUGGAUCACCUCCUUACCUUAAAGAA
This 712-nucleotide ribosomal RNA is filed under the name Salmonella enterica subsp. enterica serovar Typhimurium. RNAcentral describes it as "bacterial SSU rRNA". It matches the Rfam family "Bacterial small subunit ribosomal RNA", at positions 831 to 1533 of the family's 1533-position model. Lineage: Bacteria; Pseudomonadati; Pseudomonadota; Gammaproteobacteria; Enterobacterales; Enterobacteriaceae. The record is from RNAcentral.